AGCGAACGCUGGCGGCAUGCUUAACACAUGCAAGUCGCGCGGGUGGUUUCGGCCAUCAGCGGCGGACGGGCGGGUAUCGCGUAGGAAUGUAUCCCGAGGUGGGGGACAACCCUGGGAAACUGGGGCUAAUACCGCAUGGGGCCUGUGGGUCAAAGCCUUAGGGGGGCUUGGGAGCAGCCUGCGUCCGAUUAGGUAGUUGGUGGGGUAAAGGCCUACCAAGCCUGCGAUCGGUAGCUGGUCUGAGAGGACGAUCAGCCACACUGGGACUGAGACACGGCCCAGACUGGUACGGGAGGCAGCAGUGGGGAAUAUUGGACAAUGGGCGCAAGCCUGAUCCAGCAAUGCCGGGUGGGUGAAGAAGGUCUUCGGAUUGUAAAGCCCUUUCGGCGGGGACGAUGAUGACGGUACCCGCAGAAGAAGCCCCGGCUAACUUCGU
Molecule: ribosomal RNA, 436 nt
Filed under: uncultured bacterium
Lineage: Bacteria
Description: partial 16S ribosomal RNA
Rfam family: Bacterial small subunit ribosomal RNA
Source: RNAcentral